AGGACGAACGCUGGCGGCGUGCUUAACACAUGCAAGUCGAGCGAGGCCCUCUCCUUCGGGAGGGGUGCCCUAGCGGCGAACGGGUGAGUAACACGUGGGCAACCUGCCCCUAGCACUGGGAUAACACCGGGAAACCGGGGCUAAUACCGGAUACGACCUCUGAGGGCAUCCUCGGGAGGUGGAAAGCAUCGUGGCUAGGGAUGGGCCCGCGGCCUAUCAGCUUGUUGGUGAGGUAACGGCCCACCAAGGCGACGACGGGUAGCCGGCCUGAGAGGGCGACCGGCCACACUGGGACUGAGACACGGCCCAGACUCCUACGGGAGGCAGCAGUGGGGAAUAUUGCACAAUGGGCGAAAGCCUGAUGCAGCGACGCCGCGUGAGGGAUGACUGCCUUCGGGUUGUAAACCUCUUUCAGCAGGGACGAAGCGAAAGUGACGUACUGCAGAGAGCACCGGCAACUACGCGCCAGCAGCCGCGGUAA
This 481-nucleotide ribosomal RNA is filed under the name uncultured bacterium. Its description in RNAcentral is "SSU rRNA". It matches the Rfam family "Bacterial small subunit ribosomal RNA", at positions 26 to 523 of the family's 1533-position model. The record is from RNAcentral.